Long non-coding RNA from Apis cerana (Asiatic honeybee), 8314 nucleotides. RefSeq lists it as uncharacterized. Lineage: Eukaryota; Metazoa; Arthropoda; Insecta; Hymenoptera; Apidae. The record is from RefSeq and is a predicted model, not a curated record.
UUUUUUUUACAGAAUAUCUUUGCUCACAAUCCAAUUUUUUGUAUUUAUAUAUUGAACAUCAUUAUUUGGCAAAAGCUGAUAUCUAUUUAAUUUUAAAUAUUUCCUAUUAUUUAAAUUUUUUGAUAUAAUUCCAAGCAUUAAUUCAAAUUAUUUAAAUAAAUUUUAAUUAUAUAGGGUGAAAUGAAAUUUAUGAAUAGUACAAUAAUAAUAGUAAAAUAAUAUAACUUGUAUAUAUUUAAAACCUAAGUUGUGAACAGAAAUAUAAACAAAAAAUGAUUUUAAGAAAUAUUUUUUGCCUUGAAUGUUUACAAUAUAUUGUGUAUUGUUAAUUUUUAAAUUGAAUGAAAAAUGUAAAAUGACAAAAUCAUUCAAAUUUUGUGGAGCAUCAAAGCGCAGUACCUUAAAUUUAUUAAUUAUAAUUGGUCACACUUCCUUUCUUCUUUUUUAGAGAAUACUGUUCAGUUAUACAUAACGAAAAGAAAAUUUGAUUAUUUAUAAUUUUAUUCUAUAAUUUUAAUGAAUCCCAAGGGUGAAAACUGCACUAAAUCACAAAGUUUUGUUUUUAUCAAGAUGGAGACGUUAUGCAUAUAUUUUAAUGCUUAAGUCACUGCCUUACAAUAUUCCUUCAACGAAAAUAAAUUCCGUAGAAAUAUUUCAAAAAAUUACGAAUAGAAAUAUUCAACAGGUGGAUCUUACAGCACAUAAAAUUGUAUUUACACGUGUACUCGUCAAAAACAAUUUAUCAAUUUACAACAAAACAUAAUUUCUCUGAAAGAAUUCGCUACCUCUAACAACAUUUAUCCAUACUUUAUAAUUUUUAUAUAAAAAUAAACGUUCGUUGCACACUAAUACAAUUUUUUUCCUUUCAGAAAAAAAUUAAGCGUUUUUUAAAUUUAUAUCAUUAGUUUGAAUUAUUUUUUAUAUAAUUUUUUAUAUAAUUGGUAAGGCAGUGAUUUAUCGUUAUCGGACAAAUUGAUAUGUAUUAACACGUUGAGAAGAAUGCUAAUGCUAAGAUUCGAAUGAUAAAAAUUUAAUAAUCCAAUUCUUGGUGGCAACGAUAAAAAUAACAGAUGAUAGAUAAAAGAUAAGCGAUCAAAUAAAUUAACAAUGCUAAAAUAUAAUUAACAAUGCUUUUGUACAUUAAUAGAGAUAGCGAUUUCUUUCAUAAGUAAUAUACACUCUCUCUCUUUCUCUCUCUCUGUUUCUCUUUCACUCUCUUUUUCUUUCAUUCUUCCUUUCUCGCUUUCUUUCGUACGCUAAACAACGCCUCUUUCGUUUACAUUAUAAGCAAAAAGGUAAACAUUAUUCUUUUCUAUCCUUCUUAAAUUAACGCUAAAAAACGUGUAACGAUUGCACUGUCGACUUCACUAAAGUCAUUGUAUUUACGCAACAAAAUGUUACAAGUAUAAAAAAUUUACGACAAGUACGGCUUCUCGAGUAAAUUUAUCGCUAACAAUCACGCCGGCGUUCAUUUUACAGCAAUAAUGCUGAUAAACCUUCAUUUUUUCAUAUCUUUGUUAUUUCUCUUUUCAUGCACUGUUCUUACAUGGGACAACUAAUCGUAUAAUUUGAUUGGUCACCGCGUUUCGAGAUUCACCGUUUUGCCCCUUGAGCGUCGCAUCGAACAUAUUCUUAUCCUCUAUCUCAUAUUUUCCCUUCCCUUCUUUGUUUCUUUUUUUUUCCCUUUUCAUUUUCUUUUAGAAACUACUACCUUCCAUUUACCUUACGCGAAUACUUCCGAAAAAUGUCAACAUACAUAAUAAUUUAUUUCUGUUAUAUUACAAUAAGUCGUUCUACAAUAGUCGAGAAUAGAGAGCAGCGAUUUUUACAGUUCAAUUGGCACAUCGGAUGCGCGUGCACGAUCGACUAGGAUCGCGAGAAAAAGAUAUAGGAGAAAAAUGAAGCGAAAUAAAAAAAAACCAUCUUGGAGGAAGACAGAAACGAUGAACUUGUAACAAAAAUGAAACGUAAAUAAGCGAAACAGGGAUAAACGGAAAGGAAGGAUAAAUGAACGAAUAUACGUGAAAGGAGAGAGGGGAAACGAGAGGAAAAUCGGUGUACAGAGAUGCCGAGGUGAAUAUGAUAUCACUGAUAUGCAUGUGGGGACUUUGGGCUCAGAAUUUUCAGUUACUUAAGUACACGUCUCUCGCGUGCUGGCGCACGCCACUAGGACGUCGAACUAUACCAACCGUUUGUCGUCGAUUUGUUCGUCGGAUGGUAAAUGUGGAAACCAGCUCCAGCGGCCGGAUGAUGGUAAAAUUGCGCUUGCUCGCUCAAACCAGCCGAGGCGUACGCCGCGGCAGCGUCCAACGCGCUAGGAUGAACGGCAGCCGAAUAUACUUGAGGCUUCAAAGGCAACGGCUGCGCUGGCUCGUAUUGAUGGCGUAACACGGGGUCAGUGUAGGCCGAUGAACCCUCGUAGCUGCUUAUCACGUUCACCGGAUGGAGUUGUUGUUGCUGCUGUUGUUGCUGCUUGUCCCUCGGUGAAACGGAUGACGGUGGAGUCAUCGCCGAAUGAUAAUCAACCGUAUAACCGCUGGCCGUAGAAUAAGAGGAAACCAAGCUGGUACUGGAUCCUUCGGAGCCAGGUGGAGUAGGCAAAGGACCACUAGGUGUCGUGUCCCCGGCGUAGUAAGUGCCACCGGAAGAAGAGGUUCUUGUAGUACCACUGGACGUGAUUCCAUGAACAUUAGCUCGUAUCACGCUCUCCCUGUUGGCAUAUAAUUGUCGUAGAAGAGCGGAUGCCGGUAGUGGCGCGGUGCUCGACUGUUGUGGACUUAGAUGUCCGAGAUGGUGAUGCGCUCCGAUCCAUUGUAUCGUACUCCUCUGUUGUUGUUGCUUCAGCAAAGCGUCCGUACUGAAAUCGGUAGGUUGAUGGAGAGUCGGUGAAUGGGACUUAUUGAGAUUCUGAACCGGCAAAUGCUUGGACAUCGCCUGUUCUAGAUCUUUCACGGAGGUGCCGGUACUGUCGGCGUUGCUCGUUCUAUCUUCCACACGUCUUGAUUUCGGACUGGCCGAGCACAGUAUUUGCUCACCUCCUGAAAUGGAAUGGUUUGAUGGAGCUGGACUUAGAGCGUGGCUUCUCUCGUUAUUCGUGACUUUCACCGUUGAGUCGUCCUCCUCGUCCUCUUCCUCGUUCGAGCUGCUAUCAUCCUCGUGCAACUUCCGCUUGUGUCCGCGCAAUUUCACUACUAGCGUGCUAAUGUUCCCUACCGCCGUCUGCGGCUCUUGUUGAAGCUGGGCUAUGUUGUCGUGAUGUCGGCUGCCUCGUUUCUCGCUCUCCGAGCCACGAGUAUCUUCGCGAUCUUCCGGCGGCGACCUGUGAGGAUGUUCCUGAUGCUGGUUUGGCGGUCCACCGUGGUUUCUUCCCUCUGCAAUAUUUUAUAAUACUAUUGUACCUUAGCGAUUAGAAAGUUUUCAAUUAUCGACGAAGAUGAAGCGACUAAUAUAUCUAAUAAUUUUUAGGAAGAAUUGGAGCAAAGUAGAAUAUCUUAAGAUGUGUACCUCCUCUAUCGGCGUCGGGGGAUCCAUUUUCUGGAUCGUUUCCAGCAGCAUCCUCGCGUUUGACACCCAUAACGCCUUCCUCCAAUUGACAACAGUCCAUAAUCAAAUUUUCGUAUUCACGACCACUAUAAAAAAUGGUAAAUCAAAUUAAUUGUUAUUCGUUUAAAAUGUAACAUGAUAUUUAAUUAAUUAGAAAUUAGAUGCGUGUCGCGACAUUUACCUUAUAACAUAAUUGACACAAAUGAUAUUUUGUUCCUCAGCGUUUUUCGAAUUACAUACUACCGUGGCACACGUUUGUAGCCACGUAUAUCCCCCACUUUUGUUCAUCAACCUAUAAUAAUGCGUCAAUACUUGUCCCUUGUGAAUCACUGAAACAAAAUCAUAAAAUCAGGAUAACGGGAAAUAUUUUAUAAUUUAAAUGAUUCAUCGAUUUAAUUAUCGAUAAAAAUAUACUCACGGUCGAUGUGAGACUUCCGAAGACGAUUUGCAUCUUCUCCAUGGCACAACGUAUACAAAUUCUUUCCCGUCAAUUCGUCCGCUGUAUAAUCUAGUAAUUCGGAUACCCUAUAAAUUGACACGAAAAAAAAAAAAAAAAAAAAAAGAAAGAAAGAAAUACAAAAUUACUUAUUAUAAAAGUAUAUAAAAAAUCUUAUGAACAGUUGCGAAAUUAUUCCGUAGACGUAUUAAUUGAUAUUCACGAUGCUCACCUUGGUUCACAGUGUGCUAUCCGAAAAUCGAAGUUGAUCCGCGUGACGAACAUGUCGGUUUCGAGGCGAAUUUCGUGCACACUUGGCGGAGGAAGUGCGAUCGCCAGGCCAACCAUGCCUAUUAACGGUGGCGCGGACUUUCUUGUAUGGCUAAACGUAUACUGCGGUCUCAAACGGCACAGUAACAACACGACCUGAAUUCAUAAUCGUUUAUUAACAUCUCUGGUUUCGUUAAUUGAACGCGAUUGAUUUACGAAACGUUAAAUCGAUUGAACUGAAAAUUGAUAGGAUUCGAAUUAAAUAUAAAUUACGAUAAACCGAUGAAGAUUCUAAACUUUAUUUUUUUAAUUUUCAAUGAAAAAUUUUUUAAAAUAUGAGAAGAAAGAAUACACACCCUAUAACCAGAAGAUUUAAAAUGACAUCCCCUUUUCGUUAGGGUGGAUUUCAUCCGGACGCAGAACGCUCUGUCGUAUCCUUUGUAGAGAUUAUUCGCUGAUAACGACAUUACUGAGGAUACUAUAAAUGAUAAUGCAAAUACAAGUUAUCUAUGAAUUGUUAAUUUCGACAAAAUAAAAAAAAAAUUAUUUAAACAAGGAACAGGUAUUUCUUGUUGCUUCUGUGGGAAACUUCAUUCUUCGCGUCGUACUAAGAAUUCACAAUCUAUUCAAGAUUCAUUAACUUUACUACUCGGAGUUUAUCAACGAACGAUCAUGAUGCGAAAUGAUCUCAUCGCGAUUCACGGCGAGGCACAUCGUUCAAACAAAAGACGUAGAAAUUUACCGUCGGGAUUCGCUGUGGAGGAAGAUCCAUGUUCUUCGGAUGCCGCGCUACUCGGCGAUGCUAGGCCAGAGCUGGAUGAAUGUGGACCGGAAGAGGUGCUCGAUGUCAACCCGAGGCCCAAUUGUUCUGCUACUUCCGCGUGGUCUUGCUGAUGAACGUAAUCGAAAACGCUUGAACCCGUCAUCUCUACCUGUAAUUCACAAAAUUUUCUUCAAUUCAAGUGCUUUUUCGAAAAUACGUUUUAUUUCUUAAAAAUAUUUUUCGAAUAUUUUUUUAUUAUUAUUAUUUUUAAUUAUUAAUUAUAAAUUUUCUUACUUUAAGAAUUCUACAAAUUUUUGCAAGGAUUGACGAAUUAAUUCGAUAAGGAUUUUUUUUUUAAGAAUUUGAAGUAUGAUAAAAAUGUAGUCUCCGAAGAAGCACGUGCGUUUAAAUAUCGUAAUUUACUUGACAAGUUAUGGAAAGGUGACUUAAUUAGAGAAAAAAACUGCAGUCGAGGACAGCUUUCUCGAGGCGACUUCAUUGCAGGGAAACUCUGUGGCUCUUAAUAUGAUAGUUUCUAGGAAAAAGUGCUUCGACGUGACCGAAACGACAUUCUUUCGUUCGAUGGAAGUAGCAUCUUAAAGUUAGUUUCCUUUUUACAAGAAUCGAGAAUUCUUCUUAUCGUUAAAUGUUUUACCGAUAUUAUUUUCGAAGAUUCGAAAUUUGAUAAUAUUGGUAGUAAUAUCUAAAAGAUAUAUCAUUAUUUAAAGAUUUCUCGAUACUAUUGAAUAGAAUGAAAUUUUUAUCGAAUUUUUAUUUCUUAUCUAUUUUUAAACGAUUCUCGAAUUAAUUUAGAUAUUUUAAAAAGAUACUUAUGUGUCUUAAUACGUCAAAGAUAUCUAUUUUAGGAAACCAUUUUUUAAAGAAUUUUUCACAAAUUUAGGUGAUAGGUCUUUUUCUUUUUUUUUUUUAAACGAAAACGGUAUUUUUUAUACGAAUUUACGAAAAAUACAAAACACGUUUGAAACCGAAAUUCUAUUAGUAAAACUUUGCAGAACAGCGAGAACGGAAUAUUGAUAAAUGUCGGUAACAAGGAAGAUACAAAACAAUUUCCCUUUUUCACUGGAAUAAACGUGUCUAUCAUUUAAUUACAAGAUUUUUACCAACAAAAUGACAAAUUGUUUAAAAUAUUCGAGAGAGAAAAUUCCUUCGACAACAUUUAUUCGUAAAAUUAUUCAAAUGUACACACUCGUAUAAUCCUAACACGUCGAUUUACCCUUCGAUCCCAAGAUUCCAGGAACUCGCUCAAAGACAAAGCACGUAAGAGUAUGUAAAUCCCGCGAAGUAGAUUACUAGCUCAGAGGGGCACGGUUUUCCAUCGGGGGAGGCUCUCUCAACCAACGGAGAAAGACAGAAAGAAAGGUAGGAAGAGAGGGAGUCAAUUUCAUCGGGCACGGAAACUUUAAUUUCAAUCGAACUUGCCGACAGAAUAAUAAUAAUACUAAAGCCAGUAGUAGGUACCCUCGUAACCCAACAAACAGAGAGGAGGAGAAGGAGGGGGAGGAGGAGGAGGAAAAGGAGAAGGAGCAAGAGAAGGAGGAGGAACCUAUUAAGAAUCAACUUCACCAACGAGACUUAGAAAUCGUUAACGCAUCGGAAUGCCACUAAACUAUAUCCCAUCCCUCGCUAGGGGUUGCGGACUCGAAUCGAAGGAAGGAAGGGAGGACUAUUUAAAAAACGGACAUCAUUCCGAUUCAUUCAAAGAUACAGCUUGCAGAUACGUGAUUCGAAAACAAAGAGAAGAAAAUGCAAAUUGUACGCUUACCUGAAGAAUAUGGGUACCCUGAUGUACAUCGAAAUGGUCCAUAGCAGCGGAUGCCGAUGACCUAACUCGAUUCGCACCUGGAAUCAGAAACGUGGCGCGUUAUUGAAGGCGAUGAUAUACGUCCAUCAUCCAUUUGAAUGGGCUCGGUUCAACAUAGCGAUAUUUAACAUUCUGUUUUUUCAUCGUAGUUAAGUUUAGACGCUUCCGCAAAGAAUAUGACAGGUCCAUAGUUAUCGUGUUAGCUAUACGUGUGUUAAAAAGAUAGAUUUGUAUUCGUCGGACGGCGUCAAAGUUGCAUAUUGCCGUGCAUAUCGCGAACGAUGAAUAAUAAUGAACAAACGGAACUCGAUAAAUCAACAUUCCGUGGUGGUUUCUCUCGAUCACCCAUUUCUGACACAAAUUUCAUUAAAAGAAGGAAAUCACGUCAAUCUAAUAAACAAUUAGCUCAUCGUCAAAAGAUUCCUCUACGAGAAAUUUUAUAUUAAUCUCAAUUUUGCGAGUGAAACGAAUACGAAAGCAUUUACUUUCUCAUAAAGUCUUUAUGACGAUUUUACAAAAUUGCCCGAAACUUCCCGACAGAGUUGCAAACUAAUUCUGUCAUUUUUUUUUUAAGGUUUCAGGUUUCUAAAAAAAUCUUUAGAAAUAUAGAGAAAAAUCUUUCGUGGAAUCUUUCCAACACCCUUGGAUGAAUUUUUAAAAGAUUCUGCAAUUUGUAAGUGUACAAUUUAAAAUGCUCAACGCUCGAGCUAAAAUUUUAUUCGAAACUUUUUUCUCGAGUCUCCGUUAAUUACCACUUUGACUAACCGAAAUCUGUUCCCAUUCCCCUCCUGACAACUCCUACUCGAAGGGUGAGCAAAGAGUUAAUAAAGACGUUUGUCCAUCCUCCAUUGAUUGACAUUCACCCGAUCGUGGCCCACCUCCACUUUAUUCUGACCAUUGUGACUCAUUCCCCGACUCUUCAACCCCUAAAGAUAGCCUGCUAACCAUGCCACCGGUGUGACCCCUUCGCGUCUUCUUCUUCUCUCCCCCUCGUUUAACAAACAAGACGUUCCCGCUCCUUUCCCGUAAUAAUAAACCAACCCACACCCUCUCUUCGGGGACGUCGUAAUGAAAGACUUAGAAGACUCGAUCAAACUCGGCGCGAACCGCUUAAUCUGCUAAGCCCUACGGACCAGGAACGAAGUCGAAGUGGCCGGCUAACUGGCCGGAUUGAUCAGCCUCUGGCUUUCGCCAUUCCGUCAACAAGUUCGUCCCGAUAUCUCGGACCCGGAUCCCCGAAUAAUCCGGCCGGACUUUCGCCUAUGUACGACGAAAGCGGUUUCUUUCACGACCGGCACCCAAUGUUCGUUUCGCUUUGUGACCACGAUCCGUGAAUACCGAUUGAACUUUUACCGAUCGAGUUCGCACGAAUAUCAUGCACGAAAACGUGGAAUUGUUGGUUUUCGAGAAAGGAAAUUGAGAAUUGCUCGACGAGAAGUGGAUGGAUCGUAUUGAGAAUUGAGUAAAUUUUAUCGAGAUA